GGAAGUCUAGUGAGGUGACCAGCUGUGCGGCAGACAUGUGGCCUUGAGAUUCAGGACAUUGAUCAGAUUCAAAGCUUGCUAAGCAGAAAAAAAGCACCAGUUCAUCACCUCAAAUUGUGCCUUUGGAGCAUAGCUUCUGUCAAAUUUCCUUGAAUCAUAUUUCUACAGAAGGCUUUACACUACGCAUUGCUGGUUUGAUGUAGCUAUGUAGGUACUUCUCCGGUGGGAAAGAUACCAUUUACUGGCAGUUGUCAUGGCAACCAGGGAAUGCGGCAAAGCUCAGAGUAUAGUUUCAAGUAGAAAAUGAACUUGUCAUUGUACAAAUCUGCAAAAGCAAAAAAUAGAUGUAACUUUUUCUCACACGCAUAGAAGUAUAUGAAAUAUCCUGAAUAAAUGUGUCAAGCAGGGAAUGAUGCUUAAGAUCCAAAUGCAGGCCACAGGUGAGACAAUUAUGUUUACAACAAAAAUAAAGUGAUACAUUGUUUAGAAACUAUUACAAUCCACAGGAAUGUUUGUUCCGGUACAAGUCAUCUAGUGGGUUUGCAGCACUAGCUCUAGUGGAUUCAGGCAUGUUUUCAUCACUCUAUGCAGGUACUGCAACUGUAUAAGAUGAUGGUAAACACUAGUGCGGUUCUUCUGUGAUUCGAAACCUUCAGGCAUGGUCAAUGCUACUUACAUUUCAUAAAGGUUCCAAGCAUCUAGAAAGCCGAAAGGCGAGGAGGAUUUCAUACACGUUACGAAGUUUUAUAGAAAAGGAACAUUUCUAGAUUGAGCAUCUUUUCUCCAUAUUCAAAUCAUAUCUGAGACCUCUAAAAAUCCAAGAGUGAUAACGAAGAAUGAGACUGAAAGAAAUCAUAUAAAAAGGGUUGACCGAAUUCUCAAAAGGAAAGUGAAUUUGCCUCUAGAGAAACCAAGGGCCACCAGGCACAACACCUUUUCGCCCACCAAAAGGACAUGAUGAUAUUAUUCUCCCUCUCCUUAUAGAGAAAGUACAGCAUUGCUGAGACAUGACACAUGUCAAACUGUCGUUUGAGGCUGCAGAAUUUGAUCUGAUCCUGUGGUCCACGACAAUCUAAUGGGCCAUCUUGAAAGUACCAUACCUUCCACUAAUUUGACAACCCGUAAAGAUGCAAGUCAAUGUUAUGCCUUCUAUUGUCUGAAGUAGGUCAAAGGCAUUUUGUAUAUUGCAUCCUCUGAAGUCAUACACAUGCAAAUUUAGUAAAAUAAAAAAUAAAAUCAAUGAUCAGCACCAAAAUUUAAGGAGCAAGUGUAAAGGCUAUCUGCAAUGGUUCCCCCCCACCAAAUCACGAAUGGUGAAUCCACGGACGAAGGAACGUCCUCUCCAGGAGGGAAAUUAAUUCAAGUUGGAAAAGGGGAAAAGGAUAUGAAAUCUCAUAGCCGCUCAACCAAUCACUUGGUGACACAAAUACUCACUCAUGAACCAUAAAUUCCUGACCAAAAUAUAGGGAUUACUGUCGGAAACUAUUGACCAAUCAGGACAAGACAUGCAUUGGAAGGAGUAGCGCAUCAAAUCUUACUAUAUCCUGACUAUUCUUUUGGUUUGGUAAUGUAAUGGGAGGUAGACAUUCUGAUUACAUUCACUUCCAAUUAUAUUGUUAAAAUUUUAAAUGAUAUCUCUUUGAUUGGAUUGGCUCCCUUCUUCCUACUGUCUAAUUAAACUAUUUAAAAAUUAAUUUUUGACAUUGUGGUGAAUCCUUUGACCUUUCUUGCAAUUCCAAAUUUCUAUUAACUUUAGGAAAUCAUUACAAAAAACUCCAUUAGCUUUGAAAUUCUCUUAAGCUUUCCUGUACCUGCACAUAUGAUUACAUGAUACAACCUCAUAACCUUGGCAAAUACUGAUCAGGUGAAAACAGAAGUGAAAAUUAACUUGUGCUGUUGUGUAUACCUAAAGCAUGACACCAGUACAAGUACAACUUCACUAAUCUGUGUGCAAGGAGUCAGAGAUCUAUCCAUAUCAGACCUAACGCAUCAAUCCAAAAGAAUCAAGCAUCUACUUUGACAAAAGUUUCAUGACAAAAGAGGCAAACCAGAUCUCCAUUUGAUAUACUUUUGGAUGUCUAUAUAUAGCAAGCUAGAAGGCUCAAGAAGUCAUACAGAAAACAUAGAGUAUUACAGUCAUAUAGAUGACUGAACCUCAUAUCGGGCAAGUAGCAGCCAAUGACUAGGCACACGUACAUACGUGCAUCAUCUCUCUAGUGGUGCACACCCUCGAGCAGUUUAGUUUGGUGCUUCUUGUUACUGAUGACUGUCAAUGGCCUUACGUGAAACGAGAUAGAGAGCAGAAUGCAGCCAAGGAUGACUUGCCGGGUAUGUGCAUGCAUGUUACAAUUGAGCAUAUGCAACCUGUUUUGAGUCCAUGCUCUGGUGUCUUCCGGCAAGUUGUCCUUGGCUACAUCUUGUUCUUUUUCUCUCACGUGAGGCUGUUGCAGGGUUUAAUUUACAUGGUUUACCUUUAGCUUAUAGUCCAUGCGCACAUACCGUUAUGUACUUAUAUCAUGAGAUUGUUAUUUUACUCUGGCCAUGAUGUACUUACGUUAGCUCAUACAUAGCCAUCUAGAGCUGAUUCAACUUAUUAUCAUUCUUUUACUGAUGCUGGGCGUGUUAAGAGGAGGUAGAUGUGCUCUUGAGGUGGUGAGGUCCUGCACUUAACAAUAGAACGUCUUUCCUCUUUAUGCAUAUAGGCACAUCUUGAGCUAGUUCGCAUGUAAAUGAAAGAAUGCUGGCCACAAGAGUAGCAGGGGCACCAUGAAACUAUAUAACUAACUAGCCAGCACAUGUAAUAAUUUGCACGGAAUUGUUUAAGCAAACUAAUUUUGAGGAACAACAUAACAAUACAUUCACUGUUGCAAAUUUUGUGCUCUCAGCUUUAGGACAUGCAUGAAACAACUAAUUCAUUUCUGUUCCCCAGAUACAUGCUACAUCGCCAAGCCUCCUGAUUACUCAAACUGCAAAGUAGCACUGCCAAAGAUACAGCAAUAACAUUAAUGUAUAUCUGUUGUUGUCUGAUAUCAUGUGAUAAUGUCAUUCUUCUAAACUCUUAAGUUGGAAAAAUAAUUCAGCUGAACAUCAAAAGUUUACUGAGAGGAAAAGGUUGGUUGUUCUCAAUCAGUCAAUCUACUGGAGGACUCACAAUGCCAUGAAACAGAUGGAAAGAUGGAGCAGAGACAUGGGAGGCAGAAUAAGCAAGAAACUCAGAAGCGAAAGAAGUGCAGCAAGACCGUGGCAGAACCUAAAAAAAUAUAGUAGUGAAAGCUCUAUAUAUUGCCAAAGUCUCCAUUUAAUCAUGAGCCCUGAUUAGUGGGCAACAAAUUAAUUGUCAAUACAGGGCUAUAAAGUCUAAAGGACCUGAACUUUCUGGACUUUGCUGAAAAUAAGCACUAGAGACUUUUAUUGUUUGAGUGCAAAUUGAGCAAAAUUUUGCCUUUCGGUGAAAUUGCUGCUCGAUGAUACCUUACCAGUAUAUCAGGUCCGACAGCAGGGUCAAUCACGAAUUGACAGGAAAAAGAAGCACCAUGUUGACGUUUACGAACAACCGAAUCGUAUCAUGGUGGCUCCAGUAGUUAUCUGUACAAAUCUAUCUUGUCUUGACAAAAUGGAGUAGCAUUUUUCAUUUCCAGUUAUCUAGACCAUUCUCUGGCUGUCAAAGCUAUCAUCGGUAGUAACUUCGACAUUAUCUAUUUUAUUAGCUGGAGGUAGCAGCACUGCCGCUAACCUCUCCUAAAACUGGCCUUGUUGCGACAAACUAAUUUACUGCAAAAAUGAACCCAAUCACAACUUCACAGCACGCCGGCACAAGGUAUGUAACAAUCCUUGACAGUCAACCCUAGCCGUAGACCACUACCAGAAAUUUUCUAUUAUAUAAUCGCAUAACUGAAGCAACUGUACCCAAAUGCGGGGGUGCCAUCAACAGCAAGGUUCGUGCAAUAGCAGAUAGCACCAACAAAUUUGAGUUGGGGACUAAGAAGCAAGGAGUAGCGUACCUGGUAACUCCAUUGGCCGCUCGUGGCAUCCCCGUUCCAGCGGUGGACCGGCGCGCUCUCGCCUUCCCCGCAGCGGAGCUGCCCCCGGACCCGGGGGCCGGGGCCACGGCGCCGCCGUGCGCAAGGCUCGCUGGAGCCUAGAGCAGACCGUUCUGCUUCAUCUCUGGUUCGGCGAACUCAGUCGCAACAGUCAACACCCGUGGCUCGCCUCUUCGUGGGCUUUCACAGCGCGUUCAAAUGGGCUUUCCUGUCGUAUGUAGCUGGGCCGCUGUACCAAAGCCGCGGGCCCGCGAAAGAACUUUUUGAAUUAAACUUCGAAUGUACUUGUAAUCAAAAUGUAACUUGUACGUGAGAUUUUAAACUUUC
RNAcentral lists this long non-coding RNA (4367 nucleotides) under Setaria italica (foxtail millet). The record is from RNAcentral. Lineage: Eukaryota; Viridiplantae; Streptophyta; Magnoliopsida; Poales; Poaceae.